GAUGAAGAACGUAGCGAAAUGCGAUACGUAAUGUGAAUUGCAAAUUCAGUGAAUCAUCGAGUCUUUGAACGCACAUUGCGCCCCCUGGUAUUCCGGGGGGCAUGCCUGUCCGAGCGUCAUUGCUGCCCUCAAGCACGGCUUGUGUGUUGGGCCCCGUCCUCCGAUCCCGGGGGACGGGCCCGAAAGGCAGCGGCGGCACCGCGUCCGGUCCUCGAGCGUAUGGGGCUUUGUCACCCGCUCUGUAGGCCCGGCCGGCGCUUGCCGAUCAACCCAAAUUUUUAUCCAGGUUGACCUCGGAUCAGGUAGGGAUACCCGCUGAACUUAAGCAUAUCGAUAAGCGGAGGA
This 345-nucleotide unclassified non-coding RNA is filed under the name soil metagenome. Its description in RNAcentral is "partial contains 5.8S ribosomal RNA, internal transcribed spacer 2, and large subunit ribosomal RNA". The stretch from base 1 to 119 matches the Rfam family "5.8S ribosomal RNA", at positions 35 to 154 of the family's 154-position model. The record is from RNAcentral.